GAUGAACGCUAGCUACAGGCUUAACACAUGCAAGUCGAGGGGAAACGACAUCGAAAGCUUGCUUUUGAUGGGCGUCGACCGGCGCACGGGUGAGUAACGCGUAUCCAACCUGCCCAUCACUUGGGAAUAACCUUGCGAAAGUAAGACUAAUACCCAAUGACAUCCCACGAAGACAUCUGAAUGGGAUUAAAGAUUUAUCGGUGAUGGAUGGGGAUGCGUCUGAUUAGCUUGUUGGCGGGGUAACGGCCCACCAAGGCAACGAUCAGUAGGGGUUCUGAGAGGAAGGUCCCCCACAUUGGAACUGAGACACGGUCCAAACUCCUACGGGAGGCAGCAGUGAGGAAUAUUGGUCAAUGGGCGAGAGCCUGAACCAGCCAAGUAGCGUGCAGGAUGACGGCCUUAUGGGUUGUAAACUGCUUUUAUAAGGGAAUAAAGUGGGUCUCGUGAGACUUUUUGCAUGUACCUUAUGAAUAAGGACCGGCUAAUUCCGUG
This 492-nucleotide ribosomal RNA is filed under the name uncultured bacterium. Its description in RNAcentral is "partial 16S ribosomal RNA". It matches the Rfam family "Bacterial small subunit ribosomal RNA", at positions 28 to 507 of the family's 1533-position model. The record is from RNAcentral.